GGCUGCAGUUUGGGACUUUUGCCGAUUCCCGGCGAUUUCGGCCACCUCCGGUCCCCAUUUCUUCGUCGAAGUUAUGAAGACGUGAGGAGGAUUCCCUCGAGGAGGGUUUGGAUCGACGGCAGGCUUAGCCGUACAUUUUUGCAGGCGAAUUAGUGGAGGUCGGGCGUACAUGACAUUUGAGGCAUAGUUGUCACUACUUCUGUAAUGUAGGAUCACUUGAUCCUUUACUCCUCUGUUAUAUCCCUGUGUAUAGUAGUAUUGCUCUGCAUAACCUUGG
Molecule: long non-coding RNA, 277 nt
Filed under: Rosa chinensis
Lineage: Eukaryota; Viridiplantae; Streptophyta; Magnoliopsida; Rosales; Rosaceae
Description: sRNA RchiOBHm_Chr4g0406681
Source: RNAcentral